UACGGGGGGGGCAAGCGUUGUUCGGAAUUACUGGGCGUAAAGGGCUCGUAGGCGGCCAACUAAGUCGGACGUGAAAUCCCCAGGCUCAACCGGGGAACUGCGUCUGAUACUGGAUGGCUUGAAUUCGGGAGAGGGAUGCAGAAUUCCAGGUGUAGCGGUGAAAUGCGUAGAUAUCUGGAGGAAUACCGGUGGCGAAGGCGGCAUCCUGGACCGACAUUGACGCUGAGGAGCGAAAGCUAGGGGAGCAAACGGG
RNAcentral lists this ribosomal RNA (253 nucleotides) under uncultured bacterium. Its description in RNAcentral is "partial 16S ribosomal RNA". It matches the Rfam family "Bacterial small subunit ribosomal RNA", at positions 524 to 776 of the family's 1533-position model. The record is from RNAcentral.